Molecule: ribosomal RNA, 507 nt
Filed under: uncultured bacterium
Lineage: Bacteria
Description: bacterial SSU rRNA
Rfam family: Bacterial small subunit ribosomal RNA
Source: RNAcentral
GACGAACGCUGGCGGCGUGGAUUAGGCAUGCAAGUCGAACGGUAUCAUCCUUUCGGGGGUGAGAGAGUGGCGAACUGGUGAGUAACACGUAGGUUAUCUACCCUCAAGACGGGGACAACCCAGGGAAACUUGGGCUAAUACCGGAUGUGAGCAACUUUUAGUUGUUUGAAAGGUGGCGUAAGCUGUCGCUUGGGGAUGAGCCUGCGUCCUAUUAGUUAGUUGGUGAGGUAACGGCUCACCUAGGCAAUGAUAGGUAGGCGGCCUUAACGGGUGGUCGCCCACACUGGGAUUGAGAUACGGCCCAGACUCCUACGGGAGGCAGCAGUCGAGAAUAGUCUACAAUGGUCGGAAGACUGAUAGUGCGACGCCGCGUGAACGAUGAAUCCCUUCGGGGUGUAAAGUUCUUUUAUAUGUGAGCAGUGCUUCUUAUAUUAACAGUAUGGGGAGAGAGAUAUUAGCAUAUGAAUAAGCAACAGCUAACUCCGUGCCAGCAGCCGCGGUAAAACG